Molecule: long non-coding RNA, 1519 nt
Organism: Symphalangus syndactylus (siamang)
Lineage: Eukaryota; Metazoa; Chordata; Mammalia; Primates; Hylobatidae
Source: RefSeq, a predicted model, not a curated record
GGCCUGGGAAGGAACCUCCGGCCCUUCCUCACCGUGCAGCCAAGCCCUGCUUUCUCUACCUCCAGUCGUUUUCUGAGGACCAGCUUGGUGGGUGCUGAUGCCUGCCUGGAAGACCUCACACCCACAGUGUCUUGGAAGAUCCUGAAAGCAGUGUGAGACCAGAAUGACCAGCAAAGGAGAAAAGAACAAGGACGCAUUGCAGCCAAAAUGGAGCUAGAAUCUUGCCUCUGUCCAUCCUUCACUGGAGUCAUCCUGGAUGGAGAAGGAACCAUAUCACCUGCAAAGCCUGGAAGGGGAGCCCUGCUGUGAGCGAUCCAGUGUUCAAGCUGGUCAUCAGGAGAAAGCUACUUAUGAUUUCCUAACAAGCAGCCACCACAGAACGUCACAUUCCCAAAUAUGCUCUUCACCGUCCCUGCUGUCCCCACGUGGCUGGCCCUGGUGUGGGCAGGAAUGAGUGGGAUUGGGAUGUUUUCUCACAGGUCUUUCUCAGGUGAGGCCCCAGGCUGUGACCAGGCCCCUGCCCUGCAUGUGACUCAGGCCUAGCCCCUGCUGGGGCAGGAAUGCCACCCAGCACAGCAUCCUACUGGUGCCUGAAUAAAGAACGGACUGGAGGUUCACCUGAAAGGGGCUGCCAGCCUUCUGCGGGAGUCAGCCAACAGCUCACAAUGACCCUGUGUUCAACUCAUCUUAUCAUGAAAUUUUUCAGCUUGACAAACUUUUAGUCAUCUUUCAAGGCUCGGCUCAAAUGUUGUUUUCUCUGGGAAAACCGUGCUACUUUCAGCAAAAUGCAUUUCCUUUUGAUGGGCAUCUGUUUUUUUCAUUUAUUUAUUUAUUUAUUUAUUUAUUUUUGAGGCAGGGUCUCACUCUCUUGUCCAUGCUGGAGCGCAGUGGUGCAAUCUUGGCUCACUGAACCUUCACAAUGGGCAUCUGUUUCUGUUCUACGGAGUGACCUAAAAGUCAAGAAUCAUGGAGAAAUUGGCCGGGAGCAAUGGCUCAUGCCUGUAAAUCGCAGCACUUUGGGAGGCUGAGGCAGGCGGAUCACUUGAGGCCAGGAAUUUGAGACCAGCCUGGCCAACAUGGUGAAACCCCAUAUCUACUAAAAAUACAAAAAAAAAAAAAAUUGUUAGCUGAGCAUUGUGGCGUGCGCCUGUUAUCCUAGCUACUCGGGAGGUUGAGGCACAAGAAUUGCUUGAAGCUAGGAGGGGGAGGUUGCAGUGAGCCGAGAUCAAGCCACUGUGCUCCAGCCUUGGCGACAAAGUGAAACUGUGUCUCAAAAAUUAAAAAAAAAAAAAAAAAAUCAUGGGGAGAAUUUAUUGUUAAACAGAAUAUUCGUUACAUUUUCAAAUAAUAUAGUCAGUAUGUUUUUCUGCAACCUUUAGAUAUGUUUUCAGGUGAAGUACCUCUAAAUGUAAAGAAAUGGGUCCAAUUGUUAAUUUUUUUUAAAGGUUCGAGAAAUACACUACUUUCUCUGGCUUUUUUCUUAAACUUUUUUUUUUUUUUUUUGAGAUGAAGUCUUGCU